This 691-nucleotide long non-coding RNA is filed under the name Gossypium raimondii (Peruvian cotton). RNAcentral's name for it is "long non-coding RNA (GRAI_LNC003870)". The record is from RNAcentral. Lineage: Eukaryota; Viridiplantae; Streptophyta; Magnoliopsida; Malvales; Malvaceae.
AUUUGACAUGUCUAGGAGGACCAAAUUGUAAAGGGUGUAAAGUUUUCAGGGUAAAAAUGUAAUUUUAGAAAAAUAUGGGGCUAAAAUGUAAUUUUUAGAAAUUUUAGGGGUCCGAAUGUAAUUUAUAUUUUUUGUAUUUUUUCUAAUUUAUUAUUGCUUUAUUAAUAUUUUUAAAAUAUAAAAAACAAAACAAAACAAUAGGCCAAAGCCCAAACAAGUCCAAACUUAAAUUAUUUAAAACCCAAUCAUCCAACCCUACAUGCCCACCCAUUGGGCCCAAUCAUUAAGCCCACAUUAGGCAAGCCCAAAAAAAUCAUAAUUUUUUAAUAUAUAUAAAAUAAAAUAAGAUAAAAUAAAUAAAAUAAAACAAAAACACGAAGAACGUACCGGACAAAAUUCAGUGAUUACAGCUGCCCCUCUUUGCUCGUCGCUGUGAAACAGUGAUAGAGCAAAGACUUAAAAGCACUGAAUUUUGUUCGAUUGUCCAAAACCCCUUUUUUUAAAAAAUAGAGAUUGAAAAUAGCUCGACGCGCGACCCGAAGCUGAAUUUAUCUCUCGAGCCAUGAGUUGAUUUUUGAAAAAACAGAAACUUAAAACACCUCAGCGUGCAACCCGAGGCUCAACUCACCUCUCGCAAUAUGAGUUGAUUUUUAGAAAACAUAAAUUGAAAAAUACAUCGACGUGACUCGAG